AACUAACGCUGGCGGCGUGCCUAACACAUGCAAGUCGUACGAGAAAGUUGGCUUCGGCCGAUGAGUACAGUGGCGCACGGGUGAGUAACGCGUGGAUAAUCUGCCCUUAAGUGUGGAAUAACGUACCGAAAGGUGCGCUAAUACCGCAUAAUGCCUGGCAACAUAAGUUGUCCGGCCAAAGAAGGCCUCUGCUUGCAAGCUUUCGCUAAAGGAUGAGUCCGCGUACCAUUAGCUAGUUGGUGGGGUAACGGCCUACCAAGGCGACGAUGGUUAGCUGGUCUGAGAGGAUGAUCAGCCACACUGGAACUGAGACACGGUCCAGACUCCUACGGGAGGCAGCAGUGAGGAAUAUUGCGCAAUGGGGGCAACCCUGACGCAGCAACGCCGCGUGAGUGAGGAAGGUUUUCGGACUGUAAAGCUCUGUCGAGCGGGAAGAAGUGUACCAUGGCUAAUAUCCAUGAUAUUUGACGGUACCGCUAGAGGAAGCACCGGCUAACUCCGUG
This 503-nucleotide ribosomal RNA is filed under the name uncultured Syntrophus sp. RNAcentral describes it as "bacterial SSU rRNA". It matches the Rfam family "Bacterial small subunit ribosomal RNA", at positions 29 to 507 of the family's 1533-position model. The record is from RNAcentral. Lineage: Bacteria; Pseudomonadati; Thermodesulfobacteriota; Syntrophia; Syntrophales; Syntrophaceae.